UCCCUGAUGGCUCAGAUGGUAAAGCGUCUGUCUACAAUGCAGGAGACCCAGGUUCCAUCCCUGGGUCGGGAA
Molecule: transfer RNA, 72 nt
Filed under: Bos taurus (domestic cattle)
Lineage: Eukaryota; Metazoa; Chordata; Mammalia; Artiodactyla; Bovidae
Also listed under: 5 other names
Rfam family: tRNA
About the family: Transfer RNA (tRNA) molecules are approximately 80 nucleotides in length. Their secondary structure includes four short double-helical elements and three loops (D, anti-codon, and T loops).
Source: Rfam by way of RNAcentral